AACGAACGCUGGCGGCAGGCCUAACACAUGCAAGUCGAACGCCGUAGCAAUACGGAGUGGCAGACGGGUGAGUAACGCGUGGGAACAUACCCUUCGGUUCGGAACAACUCAGGGAAACUUGAGCUAAUACCGGAUACGUGCGAGAGCAGAAAGAUUCAUCGCCGAAGGAUUGGCCCGCGUUCGAUUAGCUAGUUGGUGAGGUAACGGCUCACCAAGGCGACGAUCGAUAGCUGGUCUGAGAGGAUGAUCAGCCACAUUGGGACUGAGACACGGCCCAAACUCCUACGGGAGGCAGCAGUGGGGAAUAUUGGACAAUGGGCGCAAGCCUGAUCCAGCCAUGCCGCGUGAGUGAUGAAGGCCCUAGGGUUGUAAAGCUCUUUCGUCAGGGACGAUAAUGACGGUACCUGAAGAAGAAGCCCCGGCUAAC
This 427-nucleotide ribosomal RNA is filed under the name uncultured bacterium. RNAcentral's name for it is "bacterial SSU rRNA". It matches the Rfam family "Bacterial small subunit ribosomal RNA", at positions 29 to 501 of the family's 1533-position model. The record is from RNAcentral.